Molecule: ribosomal RNA, 481 nt
Filed under: uncultured bacterium
Lineage: Bacteria
Description: partial 16S ribosomal RNA
Rfam family: Bacterial small subunit ribosomal RNA
Source: RNAcentral
GACGAACGCUGGCGGCGUGCUUAACACAUGCAAGUCGAACGAUGAAGGAGAGCUUGUUCUCCGGAUUAGUGGCGAACGGGUGAGUAACACGUGACUAACCUGCCCCUUUCUCUGGGAUAACGCUCCGAAAGGAGUGCUAAUACCGGAUACGAACUCUGAACACAUGUUCGGAGUUGGAAAGUUUUUCGGAAAGGGAUGGAGUCGCGGCCUAUCAGCUGGUUGGUGAGGUAACGGCGCACCAAGGCGACGACGGGUAGCCGGCCUGGGAGGGCGACCGGCCACACUGGGACUGAGACACGGCCCAGACUCCUACGGGAGGCAGCAGUGGGGAAUAUUGCACAAUGGGCGAAAGCCUGAUGCAGCGACGCCGCGUGAGGGAUGAAGGUCUUCGGAUUGUAAACCUCUUUCAGUAGGGACGAAGCGAAAGUGACGGUACCUAAAGAAGAAGCACCGGCUAACUACGUGCCAGCCGCCGCCGUAA